GUUUGUAGAUCUUACUUUACUGAACAUUCUUGCUGCAUACAAUUAUCCCUAUUUAUAAUGAUUGGCCCAUUAGUUUCAGUGGAAAAUGACAAAUUUUAUAAAAAUUGUUAAAAAUUUACUAUAAAGGCCAAUAACUCCUUAGGGGGUCAAUUGACCAUUUUGGUCAUGUUAGACUUAUUUUUAGGUCUUACUUUGCUGUAAAUAAUUGCUGUUUACAGUUUAUCGCUAUCUAUAUUAAUAUUCAAGUUAAUAACAAAAAACGGCAAAAUUUCCUUAAAAUUACCAAUUCAGGGGCAGCACUCUAACAACCCAUUGUCCAAUUCAUCUGAAAAU
This 333-nucleotide long non-coding RNA is filed under the name Mytilus galloprovincialis (Mediterranean mussel). The record is from RNAcentral. Lineage: Eukaryota; Metazoa; Mollusca; Bivalvia; Mytilida; Mytilidae.